CGAGUUUACGAGCAGCUUUUGUGCGCGUUGCAGCGUUAUUACAGCGGCGUCGUUCUCUUCGGUGUAGUACAGUCAUGUUUCAGUGAAGAGAUUUAUGUGUCCCGGAUGGAUUCGGGAAGGCGCCGAAGAGGGAGGUGGCCGACGCAUCUGCCCCUCUCAGAAUUAUCUGCGUCAUCAAUUGCUGCGAGCGCAACCUUGUCGCGGUCAUUAUUAAAACGGCAAUUAACCAUCACGAACGGAAAAAUCACGAUGUGCGUGCAUGCGUGAGCCACGCGCACGAGAUUUUGCUUGAAAAAUCCCUUCGUUAUCUACCGCUUGUGAUGACCCGUUUGCACGCAUAACUCGCCUCUCAACCCGCCGCCAUAAACGAAACUCGCAGGUGUCCUCGAUGAAGAAGUUAUCUCCCUCACCGGGGCUGAUAAUAAAUAAUUCUUCCGCCUCGUUUGUGCUUCCACGCAAAUUAUUCUCGCUUUAUCAAGAUCGCGCCGCCGUAAAGGCAAGAUAGCACGCCGUAAAGGUAAGAUAGCACGCCUGCGAGAAAAAGGGAGUUCGAUUUAUUAUCCUCAAGAAGAUGAUAUUAUCCUUGUCGGAAUAAACAAAGGAGUACAAAUGCGUACGAUAAAACGUAACAACAACAGCCAUCAGGCGUAAGAGGUCAAAGUAUUAACAACUGUUAAAUUAACGUCCAAAUCAGAUUAAUGAAGAUCGUAAAGGAGCACAAGCGUUCAUUUGACACAAAAGCACGGAUUGCGUACAAAGUAUUAAUUUAACGAUUGUUGCAACGAGAAACGCAACGAGAUCGUGAUGCGCUUCACUGAUUGCGGCACGAUUAAUAACGCAGCGCGAAUCCAAGCACGACAAAAUGUGUCUAUACGGAAAUUUACUGUUCAAAGUCUGCGUUCCGUUGCUGCUCACAAAGCGCAUCUACCAAUAUUUACCAUCCAGCCACCAUUACAUUGUGCGAUCUCUUGGAUGUCGAUCGACAUGGGUCGAUUUUUUUCCGAUCAAUGUGACCUGCGGAAUGCAACAUCGACGGCCGACGGGCGCAAUGUCCUCUCAACCCUUUUUUCGUAUUCUCACCCCCGCAGCUGACGAGCUGACGGGAUACCACCUGACGGUUACCACCCGGGACAGCUGUUCUCUCCCCUUCGCGGAGCCCGCGUGCAGCACCACCUCCCUCCCCCGUUCUCCCGACACCGGCAGACCCAGUGCGUCCAAAAAACAGAGACGAUUUCACGUGGUGAAAAAAAAGUCAAAAAACCACAGGCCCCGUCCCGAGCGGCAGGAUGUGCCGCGGUGGGGACGACAGAGGAGCCGCAACCAUCAGCGACGGUACCGCACGGGAACGCGUCGUCAUCAUCUCGGCGCGUUAUCAUUAUCGCCUAUCAAUUAAUCGACGUGAAGUAACGAAUCUUACAUAACGCUAAAUGUGCAUAAAUAUUUAAUAUCUUUUCUAUAUCGCAACCUGUAGUGGAAUUGACUGGAGAUUUCAUAUAAAGAUGCGACG
Molecule: long non-coding RNA, 1507 nt
Organism: Ooceraea biroi (clonal raider ant)
Lineage: Eukaryota; Metazoa; Arthropoda; Insecta; Hymenoptera; Formicidae
Source: RefSeq, a predicted model, not a curated record